GAUGAACGCUGGCGGCGUGCCUAAUACAUGCAAGUCGAGCGAACGGACGAGAAGCUUGUUCUUCUGAUGUUAGCGGCGGACGGGUGAGUAACACGUGGAUAACCUACCUAUAAGACUGGGAUAACUUCGGGAAACCGGAGCUAAUACCGCAUAAUAUUUUGAACCGCAUGGUUCAAAAGUGAAAGACGCUAUUGCAGUAACUAAUAGAUGGAUCCGCGCUGCAUUAGCUAGUUGGUAAGGUAACGCCUUACCAAGGCAACGAUGCAUAGCCGACCUGAGGGGGUGAUCGGCCACACUGGAACUGAGACACGGUCCAGACUCCUACGGGAGGCAGCAGUAGGGAAUCUUCCGCAAUGGGCGAAAGCCUGACGGAGCAACGCCGCGUGAGUGAUGAAGGUCUUCGGAUCGUAAAACUCUUUUAUUAGGAAAGAACAUAUGUGUAGGUAACUGUGCACAUCUUGACGGUACCUAAUCAGAAAGCCACGGCUAACUACGUG
This 497-nucleotide ribosomal RNA is filed under the name uncultured bacterium. RNAcentral's name for it is "partial 16S ribosomal RNA". It matches the Rfam family "Bacterial small subunit ribosomal RNA", at positions 28 to 507 of the family's 1533-position model. The record is from RNAcentral.